This 452-nucleotide long non-coding RNA is filed under the name Mytilus galloprovincialis (Mediterranean mussel). The record is from RNAcentral. Lineage: Eukaryota; Metazoa; Mollusca; Bivalvia; Mytilida; Mytilidae.
AAAUAAUUAAAUUCCAAAAAUCUCUUACUGUUACUGUAACAAGAAGUUACUAGAAAAUAACAUAGUUUAUUUUAAAUGUCUUGUGAAUAUGGUGUAUUGCAGUCAUUUUGCGAGAUUUGAGAUCUAGUAAGAGCUUCUAAAAAACACCGUAGAGAUCAGAAUGGUCAAAGACCUCGGUAUCACUGUACGCAGCUGCAAAAAGGCUAGCUUUUCACUCGCAAACAAAAGGAGUAACUGAAAAGGAUCGUGCACUACCAAGACUCGCAAAUGCAAAAAAAAACAAAAUGAUACCAUGUGGUAGUAAAUGUCAACCAAAGCCUACAUGCAAGAAUGUAACUAGCAAUGAAAACUAAUAUUUUCAAUAUUUAAUUUUUAUGUAAUCUUUGAAUUAUAAAAUUAACAAACUGUCAUGUAACCAUCAUUGUUUUUUAGAUAAAGUUUUUGUAUUAUUG